GCUGGGCGUGGUGGCUCACGCCUGUAAUCCCAGCAUCUUGGGAGGCAGAGGUGGGCAGAUCACCUGAGGUCAGGAGUUCGAGACCAGCCUGACCAACAUGGAGAAAGCCCGUCUCUA
Pongo abelii (Sumatran orangutan) is the source of this 117-nucleotide unclassified non-coding RNA. It matches the Rfam family "Metazoan signal recognition particle RNA". From Rfam's summary of the family: The signal recognition particle (SRP) is a universally conserved ribonucleoprotein. It is involved in the co-translational targeting of proteins to membranes. Lineage: Eukaryota; Metazoa; Chordata; Mammalia; Primates; Hominidae. The record is from Ensembl.